RNAcentral lists this unclassified non-coding RNA (636 nucleotides) under Hevea brasiliensis (rubber tree). The record is from RNAcentral. Lineage: Eukaryota; Viridiplantae; Streptophyta; Magnoliopsida; Malpighiales; Euphorbiaceae.
CGCUGGAAUACGUUAUAAAACAUUAAAAAUAAGUACUAUUAACCAUUUGAAGAUAAGCAAUAUGUUUGACACAAAACAAUGAAGGUCCCAGAGGAACAUCCUAGUACUGUCAUGAAACAAUGAGAAAUAUAUAUAUAUAUAUUAGUAACAAUGUGCAGUGUUUGGGUGACCCAACGCAUGAAACAUCCCACACUUAGGUCACAAAUGGCGUAACUUUACCAUUGUACCAAAGCCACCCUCUACAAUAGGCAAUAUUUAUCAUGUUACAAAAAGAUAAAAGAUAAAGAAUGCGUUCAACUUUGAAAAUAAAUUCCCAAAUCCCACAAGUGUGGGAUGCUUCAUGUUCUAUCACCCUUUUUUAUAACAAAUUUAAAGCUAACACAAUAAAAGUCAAGGAAUUACAAAAUCAGAAGUUGAGAAAGAGGCUUGUGGUGGAAGCUUGAAAUUCAAAAGGGAGAAGCCAGUGAUGAUUUGGGUUUGGUCAUGAUAUGGCAGCAGUUUCAUUUGUUAAAUCAAACAAACUUGCAGAAAGUGGCAACAACCAACAAGAUUUCCAUCUCAGCUUGGACUAGGUGUGUUCUCCUCUUCUCUGUCUUUGUGGAGGAUUGGAGGCACAUGUGACAAAAAGAGAGGCUA